Schistosoma mansoni is the source of this 46-nucleotide non-coding RNA. The record is from Rfam. NCBI's taxonomy places the organism in Eukaryota, Metazoa, Platyhelminthes, Trematoda, Strigeidida, Schistosomatidae.
ACUUAGCCGAGGAGUCCCACAAUAGAACGAAACGGCCGUCCAUAGU